This 433-nucleotide ribosomal RNA is filed under the name uncultured bacterium. RNAcentral describes it as "partial 16S ribosomal RNA". The stretch from base 48 to 433 matches the Rfam family "Bacterial small subunit ribosomal RNA", at positions 39 to 507 of the family's 1533-position model. The record is from RNAcentral.
GGGGGGGGGGGGGGGGGGGGGGGGGGGGGGGGGGGCGGGGGGGGGGGGCGGGGCGGGGGGCGCGCGGGGGGGGAGCGCGGGGGGCCCUGCGCGUAGGGUCGGGCUAACUCCCCGACCGGGGUGCUCAUACCGGAUAACGUCUUCGGAACAAAGAGUUAGCGCCUGUGGAUGGGCCCGCGGUGGAUUAGUUAGUUGGUAGGGUAAAAGCCUACCAAGGCGACGAUCCAUAGCUGGUCUGAGAGGAUGAUCAGCCACACUGGGACUGAGACACGGCCCAGACUCCUACGGGAGGCAGCAGUGGGGAAUAUUGGACAAUGGGCGAAAGCCUGAUCCAGCAAUGCCGCGUGAGUGAUGAAGGCCUUAGGGUUGUAAAGCUCUUUUACCCGGGAUGAUAAUGACAGUACCGGGAGAAUAAGCUCCGGCUAACUCCGUG